CUUGAAUUAUUAUAAGAGGUCCAGCCUGCCCAGUGACUUAGUUCAACGGCCGCGGUAUCCUAACCGUGCGAAGGUAGCGUAAUCACUUGUUCUUUAAAUAAGGACUAGUAUGAAUGGCACCACGAAGGUUACACUGUCUCCUUUCUCUAAUCAGUGAAACUAAUCUUCCCGUGAAGAAGCGGGAAUAAGACUAUAAGACGAGAAGACCCUAUGGAGCUUUAAAUAAUGCAGCAAAUGCUACAAACCCACUAAACCCCAGGACCUCAUACUCUUUCUUGCAUUAUGCCCGCAAAUUUUAGGUUGGGGUGACCGCGGAGCAAAACACAACCUCCACGCUGAAAUGAACCACAUUCUUAGCCACGAGUAACAACUCUAAGCAUCAAUAUACUGACACCUAUUGACCCA
RNAcentral lists this ribosomal RNA (405 nucleotides) under Dendrophryniscus proboscideus (beaked toad). RNAcentral's name for it is "partial 16S ribosomal RNA". It matches the Rfam family "Bacterial large subunit ribosomal RNA", at positions 1834 to 2422 of the family's 2925-position model. Lineage: Eukaryota; Metazoa; Chordata; Amphibia; Anura; Bufonidae. The record is from RNAcentral.